AACUUAUCAACCGUGACUUGGGUUUAGGCCCCUGGCUCGGCUUGGAUUUGGGUGCUUGCGGUCCUCGGCCGCUCACCUCAAAAGGAUUAGCUGGACAUGUCGUGAGACCUGGUUCUACUUGGCGUAAUAAGUAUUUCGCUGAGGACAUCCCCUCGUGGGGUGGCCAGGACUCUGGUACAGACGUCUGCUCCCUAACCCGAUCGUCCCUCCGGACAUCACUCUUUUAUG
Molecule: unclassified non-coding RNA, 228 nt
Filed under: uncultured Piskurozyma
Lineage: Eukaryota; Fungi; Basidiomycota; Tremellomycetes; Filobasidiales; Piskurozymaceae
Description: sequence contains ITS2
Source: RNAcentral